This 242-nucleotide ribosomal RNA is filed under the name uncultured Actinomycetales bacterium. RNAcentral's name for it is "partial 16S ribosomal RNA". It matches the Rfam family "Bacterial small subunit ribosomal RNA", at positions 88 to 334 of the family's 1533-position model. The record is from RNAcentral. Lineage: Bacteria; Bacillati; Actinomycetota; Actinomycetes; Actinomycetales.
UACUCGAGUGGCGAACGGGUGAGUAACACGUGGGUGAUCUGCCUUGCACUUCGGGAUAAGCCUGGGAAACUGGGUCUAAUACCGGAUAGGACCAUGCUUUAGUGUGUGUGGUGGAAAGUUUUUCGGUGCAAGAUGAGCCCGCGGCCUAUCAGCUUGUUGGUGGGGUAAUGGCCUACCAAGGCGACGACGGGUAGCCGGCCUGAGAGGGUGUACGGCCACAUUGGGACUGAGACAGGGCCCAG